Molecule: non-coding RNA, 298 nt
Organism: Neocallimastix californiae
Lineage: Eukaryota; Fungi; Neocallimastigomycota; Neocallimastigomycetes; Neocallimastigales; Neocallimastigaceae
Rfam family: Metazoan signal recognition particle RNA
About the family: The signal recognition particle (SRP) is a universally conserved ribonucleoprotein. It is involved in the co-translational targeting of proteins to membranes.
Source: Rfam
GUUGGGUAUAGUGGUGUAUACCUGUAAGUUAAACUUCUGAACAACUGAAUGUGGGAUGGUAUGAGUUAUAAGAAUGUGAUAUAGGACUUUCUUAUGUAGAGAGUCGGUCUUAUUCAAGUACCGAGUUAACAUUCGUUAAGGGAUGUAGGUCCUUUGACAAGGUUAUUAACGAAGUGGGCAACGCGUGAGGCUGGUAACAGAGCAGCGAAAACCACUCGCUUGGUACGGUGAUUGAGAUAGCUGGCUUGAGUAAGAACCUAUAUCUGCUUAUAAUAAUAGUUACUAGACGAAAUUCUUU